GGCGAGUUCGUCAUACACUGCAAGAAAGAAGCUGCCUUCUUUUCAUGGCUCCACCCUUUACAACUUCAAAAUACUGUCACAUACUCAGGAGGUGGGAGCUGCCGGCAAAAUGACAGCUUACAGGCUCUGGAGCAGGGGAGAUGCAGGAGACUUUCCCUCCAGAGACCCUGGCAGAUCCCCUGAGAGUUCAGUGUGCUGUGGUGCAAGACUCUAAAGAACCUGCGGUUAUGAAGCAUCUGACCACAUUCAAAACAGUUUAUUAACCUGUUUCGCAACACUGAGCUCAUCUAAAGUUUUUCAGACGGCAAGGUCUCUUCUUCAGAGAAACCACAAAUGGCAGCUGGUGAGUGUGCAGCAGGAGGGCUUGGAGGAUGGGGUGGGGAUGAGUGGGGUUAGGAGGCCACUGGGCUCGUGGAGGCAAAGCCAAAGACAAGGAGUGGAGCUGGGCUGCCUGGUCAAGGACAUGAAGAACAAGUCCCUGGAGGGAUCUGCCUGUUCUCCCUGCCCAUCAAGGAACCUGAGAUUAUUGACUUCUUCCUGGGAGCAUCCCCAAAAGAUGAGGUUCUAAAGAUCCUGCCAGUGCAGAGGCAGACUCAGGCUGGCCAGCGGACCAGGUUCAAGGCUUUUGUGGCUAUUGGGGACUACAAUGGUCAUGUUGGUCUUGGUGUUAAGUGCUUCAAGGAGGUAGCACUGUCAUCCAAGGGGCCAUCAUCUUCAUUAAACUUUCCAUCACUGGAGAGGCUGCUGGGGGGACAAGAUUGGCAAACCCCACACUGUUGCAUGCAAGGUGAUAGGCUGCCAUGGCUCUGUGCCGGUGUGCCUCAUCCCUACCCCUAGAGACGCUGGCAUCAUCUCUGCUCCUGGGCCCAAGAAGCUGCUGCUGCUGCUGCUGCUGGGCCAGGAUUGAUGACUGCUACACGUCAGCCAGGGGCUGCUACCCUGGGCAACUUUGCCAAGGCCACCUUUGAUGCCAUCUCCAUGAGCCACAGCUACUCAGCCCCAACCUCUGGAAAGAGACUGUGUUCACCAAGUCUCCUUAUCGGGAAUUCACUGACCAUCUUGUGAAAACCCACACCGGAGUUCCUGUUUGGGGGACUCAGGCUCCAGCUGUGACCACCACAUAAGGAUUUUUGUACCAGAAAAAUAAAGUGAAUUAAGU
This is a long non-coding RNA of Peromyscus leucopus (white-footed mouse), 1159 nucleotides long. RefSeq lists it as uncharacterized. The transcript is spliced from 3 exons. Lineage: Eukaryota; Metazoa; Chordata; Mammalia; Rodentia; Cricetidae. The record is from RefSeq and is a predicted model, not a curated record.